Molecule: ribosomal RNA, 468 nt
Filed under: uncultured bacterium
Lineage: Bacteria
Description: partial 16S ribosomal RNA
Rfam family: Bacterial small subunit ribosomal RNA
Source: RNAcentral
GACGAACGCUGGCGGCGUGCUUAACACAUGCAAGUCGAACGGAAAGGCCCUGCUUUUGUGGGGUGCUCGAUUGGCGAACGGGUGAGUAACACGUGAGUAACCUGCCCUUGAAUUUGGGAUAACUUCAGGAAACUGGGGCUAAUACCGGGUAGUAGCUCCUGCUGCACGGUGGGGGUUGGAAAGUUUCGGCGGUUGGGGAUGGACUCGAGGCUUAUCAGCUUGUUGGUGGGGUAGUUGCUUACCAAGGCUUUGACGGGUAGGCGGCAUGGGAGGGUGACCGGCCACAUUGGGCCUGAGAUACGGACCAGAAUCCAACGGGAGGCAGCAGGGGGGAGUAUUGCACAAUGGGCGGAAGCCUGAUGCAGCAACGCCGCGUGCGGGAUGACGGCCUUCGAGUUGUAAACAGCUUUCGACUGUGACGAAGCGUGAGUGACGGUAAUGGGUAAAGAAGCACCGGCUAACUACGUG